CGUCUACGAGUUUGAUCAUGGCUCAGAUUGAACGCUGGCGGCAUGCCUUACACAUGCAAGUCGAACGGUAACGCGGGGCAACCUGGCGACGAGUGGCGAACGGGUGAGUAAAGUAUCGGAACGUGCCCAAUAGUGGGGGAUAGCCCGGCGAAAGCCGGAUUAAUACCGCAUGAGACCUGAGGGUGAAAGCGGGGGACUCGCAAGAGCCUCGCGCUGUUGGAGCGGCCGAUAUCAGAUUAGGUAGUUGGUGGGGUAAAGGCCUACCAAGCCGACGAUCUGUAGCUGGUCUGAGAGGACGACCAGCCACACUGGGACUGAGACACGGCCCAGACUCCUACGGGAGGCAGCAGUGGGGAAUUUUGGACAAUGGGCGCAAGCCUGAUCCAGCCAUGCCGCGUGCGGGAAGAAGGCCUUCGGGUUGUAAACCGCUUUUGUCAGGGAAGAAAUCCUUUGAGCUAAUACCUCGGAGGGAUGACGGUACCUGAAGAAUAAGCACCGGCUAACUACGUG
RNAcentral lists this ribosomal RNA (510 nucleotides) under uncultured bacterium. RNAcentral describes it as "bacterial SSU rRNA". It matches the Rfam family "Bacterial small subunit ribosomal RNA", at positions 1 to 507 of the family's 1533-position model. The record is from RNAcentral.